GAUGGACAACAGGUUGAUAUUCCUGUACUACCGAUAACCGUUUGAGAGAAGGGAUGACACAGUAGGAUAAGCUAAGCACACUGUUGGUUAUGUGUGCCCAAGCAUUGAGGCAGUCAAAGUAGGCAAAUCCGCUUUGAUAAUGCUGGGAUGUGAUGGGGAGCGAAAUUUAGUAGCGAAGUAGCUGAUUUCACACUGUCAAGAAAAGUCUCUAUCGAGGUUAAAGGUACCCGUACCGCAAACCGACACAGGUGGGUGAGGAGAGUAUCCUAAGGCCAGCGAGAGAACUGUUGUUAAGGAACUCGGCAAAAUGACCCCGUAACUUAGGGAUAAGGGGUGCCACCAUCAGGUGGCCGCAGAGAAUAGGCCCAAGCGACUGUUUACCAAAAACAUAGGUUUCUGCUAAGUCGCAAGACGAUGUAUAGGAGCUGACGCCUGCCCGGUGCUGGAAGGUUAAGGGGAUCUGUUAGAGCAAUCGAAGCAGUGAACUUAAGCCCCAGUAAACGGCGGCCGUAACUAUAACGGUCCUAAGGUAGCGAAAUUCCUUGUCGGGUAAGUUCCGACCCGCACGAAAGGCGUAACGAUUUGGGCACUGUCUCAACAACAGACUCGGUGAAAUUGUAAUUCCGGUGAAGAUGCCGGAUACCUGCGACAGGACGGAAAGACCCCAUGGAGCUUUACUGUAGCUUGACAUUGGGUCUUGGUACUACAUGUACAGGAUAGGUGGGAGGCUUUGAAACCAGGACGCCAGUUUUGGCGGAGCCAUCCUUGGGAUACCACCCUUGUAGUACUGGGACUCUAACCAUAGGCCAUGAAUCUGGUCUUGGGACACUGUCAGGUGGGCAGUUUGACUGGGGCGGUCGCCUCCCAAAAGGUAACGGAGGCGCUCAAAGGUUCUCUCAGUACGGUCGGAAAUCGUACGUAGAGUGUAAAGGCAAAAGAGAGCUUGAUUGCAAGACAUACAGGUCGAGCAAGGAUGAAAAUCGGACUUAGUGAUCCGGUGGUUCUGCGUGGAAGGGCCAUCGCUCAACGGAUAAAAGCUACCCUGGGGAUAACAGGCUUAUCUCCCCCAAGAGUCCACAUCGACGGGGAGGUUUGGCACCUCGAUGUCGGCUCAUCACAUCCUGGGGCUGUAGUAGGUCCCAAGGGUUGGGCUGUUCGCCCAUUAAAGUGGUACGCG
RNAcentral lists this ribosomal RNA (1177 nucleotides) under Clostridioides difficile. Its description in RNAcentral is "bacterial LSU rRNA". It matches the Rfam family "Bacterial large subunit ribosomal RNA", at positions 1417 to 2602 of the family's 2925-position model. The record is from RNAcentral. Lineage: Bacteria; Bacillati; Bacillota; Clostridia; Peptostreptococcales; Peptostreptococcaceae.